UAAUUAUGUAUAGUAAAGCAAAUUACACGAUUUGUAAAGCGCCAUAUAAGCAUUGUUUAUAACCUGACAAGUUUUUUCGAGACCUUGUCGCGCGGAUCGGAACAGCUAGUCAAAGCUAGGUUACUGGACCACGUGACUUGAACAGUGAGCUGAUGACGUAUGAUCCUCGUCCGUUCCCUCAUCACGUGACGGUUUCGAAGAUCCGUACCGGUGUGUGACAGUUCCGCUGUGUUCCCCCGUCGUUGUAGCGUUCCACUUGGCGGCGUCCACAUUCUGUGACAGAAACUAAAAUCCGGGUUUGACUGAAUACUGAGUGCUGACUGCGCCUCAAGUACGUUAAUAUUAUCGAAGUGGAUGUGGACUCCGCCAAGUGGAGCACCACAAGGAUAUCCUUCUGCCUUGUGUGAGGCUGGUCAAAGCGAUGGAGAAAGAAACUUCUUCCAGGAUGAAUGGAUGAUGGGACGCUUUUUGGAAAAAUAAGCAAUUGUUUGUAUACUCAGUGGACGGGUGACCCACAAGUUGCUCACUUCAGAAACUGCAGGAAGAGUAAGGAGACGAUCAUUAACCGGUGGCGAGGGAACAUAUAUGGGGCGGGGGGAGGGAGGCAGCCGCCUCUUCUUCAAAAGAGGUACCGAGAAGGCAAGAAUGUGAGCGUCGUUCACUGUCAGCAUGAUUUAUCUCACACUUCCCCCCUCUCCAGCCAAGAAUCUUCCUACAUCACUUACAUAUAACUAUAGUUUCAUUAUAAGAUGAGUAUCUUAAUGUAGAGACGGAUGAUGAAAUCUCCAUCUACCUAGAACAUCACCCAAACACAGAGAACGUGCUGUCCUCGUUUAUCGCGUGUUUUGUUUUUGUUUUUGUUUUUUUACAACAGUUCAUCGGUGAAUGACAAAAAGCUGUGUUGUAUGCUCCUGCUCCAAAGUUACUGGGGCAGCCCAGAGUGUUCUUAAAGUUCCAAGUACAUCACUGCUAGAAAGAAUGAAAUAAAAUAGAUGGCUCAUCCCUUUCA
Pomacea canaliculata is the source of this 1009-nucleotide long non-coding RNA. RefSeq lists it as uncharacterized. The transcript is spliced from 2 exons. NCBI's taxonomy places the organism in Eukaryota, Metazoa, Mollusca, Gastropoda, Architaenioglossa, Ampullariidae. The record is from RefSeq and is a predicted model, not a curated record.